RNAcentral lists this ribosomal RNA (480 nucleotides) under uncultured bacterium. RNAcentral's name for it is "partial 16S ribosomal RNA". It matches the Rfam family "Bacterial small subunit ribosomal RNA", at positions 899 to 1397 of the family's 1533-position model. The record is from RNAcentral.
ACUCAAAUGAAUAGACGGGGGCCCGCACAAGCAGCGGAGCGUGUGGUUUAAUUCGAUGCAACGCGCAGAACCUUACCUGGGCUUGACAUGACGGUGCAAGCGCUGGAAACAGCGCCCUCCUUCGGGACACCGCCACAGAUGUUGCAUGGCUGUCGUCAGCUCGUGUCGUGAGAUGUUGGGUUAAGUCCCGCAACGAGCGCAACCCUCGUGCUGUGUUGGCUUUUUCACAGCAGACCGCCCCGCAAGGGGAGGAAGGUGGGGAUGACGUCAAGUCCGCAUGGCUCUUACGUCCAGGGCGACACACACGCUACAAUGGCCGGGACAAUGCGCAGCCACGGGGCGACCCGGAGCGAAUCGCCGAAACCCGGUCUCAGUUCGGAUGGCAGGCUGCAACCCGCCUGCCUGAAGUCGGAGUUGCUAGUAACCGCGUGUCAGCACAGCGCGGUGAAUAUGUUCCCGGGCCUUGUACACACCGCCCGU